Molecule: non-coding RNA, 607 nt
Organism: Pelobates cultripes (western spadefoot toad)
Lineage: Eukaryota; Metazoa; Chordata; Amphibia; Anura; Pelobatidae
Source: the annotation of a GenBank genome assembly
ACCAUGAGAAUUUAGCUUUCGUUGAAUAACAUAAUGCUCCUUAGUGGGGGAGAACUCGGAAAAGAAAAGGGGUAAACAUAGAAAAUAUGGAAAAUAUUAGGUUGUUUAGGCAAGAGAGUGAGGGGAGUUGGACAGCACCUCAUAAUACUGUAGCAAUCAAGAGAUGUACAAAAAAUUCAAGCAAAUUAAAUAAAAAAUAGUUGAAACUACUAGUACAUGUGUUUAUUUUUUUUGGACAAGCACAGACAAACUGCAAGCCCAACAUGGGUUAUGGGGUGUAAAGUUUUCUAGAGAAGUAUGAUUUACUUGACCAAAUGUCCCAUGCCUCUUUCCAGAAGUCCCUCUAGUUGGUAACUGCCCUAAUCAUUCUUUAAUAUUUACAGUUUACGGAUAUAAAAUUAAAAACUUCAGGUAUCUCUAGUGAUGUAGUUGCUGCCCAAUUUCUUGCUAUAAAAGGACCACUAGAGUGCCAGGAAAACCACCUAUGCCAAUAGUUAAUAGGUUCCCCCAACCCUCAUAACCCCCUCCCGCCGGGGUUAAGGGGUUAAGCUCUUACCGUUUUCCAGUGCCAGGCUCCUUCUGCGCUGGGGACUCUCCUCCCUCUUCC